RNAcentral lists this ribosomal RNA (253 nucleotides) under uncultured bacterium. Its description in RNAcentral is "partial 16S ribosomal RNA". It matches the Rfam family "Bacterial small subunit ribosomal RNA", at positions 524 to 776 of the family's 1533-position model. The record is from RNAcentral.
UACGUAGGGAGCAAGCGUUGUCCGGAAUCACUGGGCGUAAAGCGCACGUAGGCGGAUUGCUAAGUCAGGGGUGAAAUCCUGGAGCUCAACUCCAGAACUGCCUUUGAUACUGGCGAUCUCGAGUCCGGGAGAGGUGAGUGGAACUGCGAGUGUAGAGGUGAAAUUCGUAGAUAUUCGCAAGAACACCAGUGGCGAAGGCGGCUCACUGGUCCAUUACUGACGCUGAGGUGCGAAAGCGUGGGGAGCAAACAGG